Molecule: non-coding RNA, 6761 nt
Organism: Myodes glareolus (Bank vole)
Lineage: Eukaryota; Metazoa; Chordata; Mammalia; Rodentia; Cricetidae
Source: RefSeq, a predicted model, not a curated record
UAAAAAUCAAUAACAAAAAUAUCCAAAUGGUAUCUUUGACAGUUGGUUUUGUGUCUAGAUGGUCAACAAAUGAUUCUAUGAAGUGAUUUCCCAAGCCCUCGGGUUCUUCAGGAGAUGACUCAGAUGAAGGAGUUUCUUUCCAACCUGGGCUACCCUGUGGUACUUUGAGAUUAUAAUCCAGUCUCUACCCAGACAGAGAGCUCCGGGGCCAUGCCUGUGCUCUCCCCUUGAAGCCUACAUCAUAAAGGCUUUGGCAGUGAAGUAAAGCACCGAGUGAAACAGAGACAUUACUGCUCUCCAGGUGUUCAACGAGGCUUGUGAAUAUUUUCUUAAACAAUUCCAAAAGCCAAAAGCUCAUUUAAUUUGGUUAUCUUGUUUAUAAAUUAUGCCUCUAAAGAACCAAUCUAUUUUAAAUAGACUGAUGUUAAGAAAUAUGCUUACCGCUGUCAGUGUGUGGUGACCUAGAGAUUUGUCCUUCCACAGAAGGAGUAGAGAGUUGGCUUUAGCCUUCUUUGUUAAUUCAGACCAUGUUACAUGUAAAUUAUUUGUUACAGACUUGAUGUGACUGGCCGCUUUCAUCUGUUGGUUCAGUGUAUGGAAUGAGAAUGCAGAGUUCCUUUUUCUUUCUUUAAGGUCUCUGUUAAUAGGGUUAAUUUUACAAAACUUUGUGAAGUGAAUCAUUUACUCUCGACAAGCCAAACACUGUCUUUGGGAGUAUAGUUUUUAAAUUGGAAAUCAUUUCUUUCUGGGGAAUACAACUUAGAAUUAAAUUGUCUCGUUAUGCAGCCUGCCAAUAUAAAAUAUAUUCACUAUAUAAUCUUAGAAUAUAACUAUAACAUUUUAUGUUAAAAAUGGGUAUUGUCAUGUUGUCAAAUACUGGAUAUGGUCUUUUAAGGUAAUAGUUCUAAUUUUUAAAAUUUUACGUUGUCAAUUUUUUUCUAACAAAAGUUUUGUUUUACUUGAGAUACUGUGUUUUUGCACAUCAAGUAGCAGCUGGUGCUGUUAAUAUUUGAAACAAAUAUACAAAGUUCAUCAUACAUGGACGCAAGAAGUACCACCUGCCGCUUUCUGUUCAUGUUUGUCUCUUAGAUGCUGGCUUUAACUGACGUCUUUUACAAACCUGCCAGGUGCUGGUUCCUCGUGCAGGAGACUGAUGUAACAAACAGCUGGUUAGUCACCUUGUCCUUCUACGAAGUCUGGUGCAUGGUCCAGCCAGUUGUACAACUGCAUUUCACCUAUUUUAACUUACGUUAUAUUCACCCAUGUUGAUCUUGAUGUAAACGUUUUCCCCAUGUAACCCUUUCUCUUCAUGAUCCCUACAAAUUUGUACAGUUGUUCCCUCCUGAUCUCUGUUCUGGAUCUUUGCCAACUGUCUAGUUCUGUCAUGGCCUCUUGAAUGGACCCUCUUCUGAGGCGUUCUAACUGCUGCUCCCCUCACCACCCUCUGUCAGCCUUGAAGCGGUUACUCAAAGACUGAUGUCCCCAAGCCCCUAAAAGUAAUUCAGGUGACCUCUAAAAGGACUAAUGGACCAUGGCAACCCGACUCAUCCUUGUUCUUGCCACUCUGGACAUUGUUUUGGGGACUCAGAACUGAAACAGCUGGACUGAAGCCACUUAUGCCUUAAUUCACCUCUCUGUCUCACGGGCUCAGAUCAGCCUAACGGCCUUCAGGACCAGCUGGACGCAGUGCCCGCUGCAGUACUUCAAGGUUAUAGGACCAGAUCUGACUCCUGCUAAGGAUGGGACCUGUGUGUCCCUGAACAACCCUGCUUCCACACCAACAAAUCCUAUCUGGUUUGAGAUGGGGCCUAAAGACACAGGGACCAGGCACAGCCUCCCUCUGGUUCCCUCCCGCUCUGGCUCCUCCCCUGGGUCACUCUUUCCUCCUUAUUAUCCACACACCUGUGUUUUCACCUGUCUGUUAAAUGCUUCACUUUCUGAGCUUCACCCUAGACCCAGACAAAUGUUCCACAUCAGCUCUCUUGAUAGCUCAUUCCCUACAAUACAGCAGCUCCAUUUGCUCCUGAUGCAUCUGCACCAGACCUUUUAGAUGCCGUGGAGAAACUGACUGAAAGGGACCUUCAUCCCUCUCACCCCAGGCCAGAUACAAUCCUUUACGUUCACCCUCUAGUCUCUCCUGUUCCCUUCCUUUGAUGCCCUGUAGCCCCGGCCAUAUCUGCUGACUCAUCUGAUGUAACAGUCCUGGCAAUGGGACCAUCACUGUCACCCUGGAUCCACUCUAAGCCCACUUUUUCCCACCUCUGUUCCUCAACUCCUCAACCUUCCUAGAAAAUCUCUCGGUUUUACUCCAAAACCAAAUUGCCCACUUUCAUCAUUCUAAAAAUUAUUUUCCAAUUCUCUUCAGGAACACAGGACAGCAAUUACUCGAACAUCACAGUGGAUCAAAUUUAAGACUCUACUGCUACGCGACCAGAGGUCCUCAUCUUCGAUGGAGCUAGACAUAGACCCUCCUCUGCAGAGAGGAGCUGUGACAUCCCUGCUCUGCAUUUGUAUAGCCUUUUAGAGUUGGGAUAACAGCUUCCUGAUGAAGGACUACACUUCCCAGCUUCCCUUGCAGAAUUCAUAAGUCAUUCCUGCCCCUCUAAGGGGCCUCGACUCACCUUCCCCUGUGGGCCUUUUGACCUUCUUCACACAGGAGUAACAAAGAUGCCCCUCGAUGUAAUAAAUAUGGCUCUGCCUAAGGUUGCUGUGUCCGAACCUGGCCCGCGCUCGGGGGAAGGUGGAGGGUGUCUUCUUCCUUUUCACACCACAGCGCUAGGAGCAGCCUGCUUCAAACCCCAGAAGAGAGCGCCAUUCCUCAUCACCUUGAUGGCUUCCUUCUGCUGAAGGCAUCAAUGUUUGCUCAGUGGUGUAAGUCUUAAAUAAGCAUCUACGUGACGUGCUGCAGAUGAUGAAAGCUGUCUACAGAAAGAUCAUCUCGCGUGGUCAUGUUUCCAUCAUCAUCUGGGGCCUCCGCAGCUCCUAAAUGAUGACAUUCGUCCUCAUACCACGUAAAAUGACUAGCUCCUCCGGAUCCUCAUUUUCAGAAUGCCAGAUGAUAAUCUCACCCCACCCCUGUCAAAAAGGGAGCAGCAUUUGCCAGCACUGUGACUUCAUAGGGCUUGUUCCACACAACGCCACUGGCCUUCUAGACAAAGGACCUCUGCACUCUUUCUCCUGACCCCCGCCCUGGCACGACUCUGGGGUCUUUGGCCACACAGGCAUGGCUUUCUUGAAUCUCUUUGUCUCCGAAUUAAUGUGGAUGUUAAAGGGGCCUUGCCCACCCCCCACCCCCGUGUGAGAUGACAGUGGCGACUACUCUCCUGCCUCCCAGGAACCUUUGUAAUCAGAGCAGCUGCACUUUGGCUCACGCUGCAUCGCUCUGAAAUUAUUCUCCAGGGAAGUGACACUGGGAUGUCAGAGACAUUCCUCCUGAGAUGGGGGAUCCACGGGUCCAGGGUGUUGCCUGUAUUGUCGGCGUGAGCAAACUUCCCAUUUCCCACAUCUUGUGGCUAAGAUCAUUCUUGAGCCAUUUGGAUGGGACUUUAGAACCCACUAGAAGCAGAGCUCAGAAUGCUGCUGUCUGCAUUCUGUCUUCCCAGGUCAGACAUGUCGUGUGUGUGUGUGUGUGUGUGUGUUUGUAUGGUUUUUGCAAGAGUGCAGCAGUCUGAAGGUGACUUGAAUAUUCUUUCAUAGGAUGGAAACUAAAUUCUCUUACUGAAUUGAGAGUAAAGAUGAAGCAACCUUUGAAGGCUAAACCGCACAUUACCCAGAGUGUUUGCGGGGUGCUAGGCUAGGAGAGAGCUCCCUUGAUAUGCAGACUGAUGUAAAGCGAAUGAGAUAUUUCCUGGUCCUUCCUGCAAGGGUUUCUCACCAGGAAACCCUGCUGAGCAGCGGUGUGACCACAGUGGUACUGAGGAGCACACUGGAUGCAGACAGCUCUGGGCUGGAGCACUUCCUAGAAGAGAUGGUCUUUGGAUACCACCAGAAGCCAGCAGUUGCAGGGUUAGUGGUUAGGCACCGGCAGGCUGCAGAUGGAACUUCCGUCUUUACACCAGGGUUUUGUGUGUCUAUUCGAACUGAAGCCUGGUCAAGAACCCUUUGCUGGGUCAAGGGACAAGGCACUCACUCCCCAGAAGCUCCAGAGGCUCAGAGUGCCACCUCCCUUACAGAAUUAGACCCACAGUCCCAAAGUGGCCCAUAGUGCACAGCUGGCCCCAGCUGGAGAGGUGAUACAAGGAGCACUUGGGGUCUUCAUUUCCCUCAGGCCGGGCUUAGGCUAUACUGAAGAUCACAGCUGUGCUUGACUCUCUCUCUCUCUCUCUCUCUCUCUCUCUCUCUCUCUCUCUCUCUCUCUGCCUUUUUCUCUGAAUAUGAAGUCGGCUACUUCCAGGCAUUCAGCUUCCUGUCUCAGGCUAUGGUGCUGAAAUUCCCUCCCCCACACACACUCACUCCCCUUUCCCCUCAAGUCCUGAGACCCUAGGGGCAGGGAUUUUCUGAACCAUCAAACCUAAUCUCUAGUCUCCCUAGCCCCAACUCUUCAACAGGCCAACACCAGAUCCCCAAGUGUUUGCAAAUCUGACUUCUUCUUCCUCUUUGCUUUCACAACCAGAUCAAUUUUACAGGUUCACUUAUUAUCAUCCACGAGUCUGAGUUACAGAACUCUAGCCCACACCAAAGAUGUCACAAUUUCUUACUCGGGGACUCUGUUUAAAAGUCACACCUAGCCUCUGGGAGGCAAGAUGACAUUUGCAUAGUAGCAGAUCUGGGUUUAGCCUUAAUUGGUGCUUGGCUCCUAUACUGGACAAGAAAGCAAGCCGAGCACUCAGCUAAUGUACUAAACCGAAGGGAACUGCUCCUGAGUCCCUGCUCUUAACCUCUAGCCUAUGUAAGGAUGCCACAGUGACAAUGUGUUUGUCCUUGGCUACUCAAAAUGGGGGUAGUCGAAGUGAUUCUCUGUUGUGUGUCUCUUUGUUGUCUUUUGGGACAGAGUUGCUUUGUAGGCUGGUCUCAAACUCUUGAUCCUGCUGCCCACUCUCCCAAAUGCCGGGACCACAGACAUGUGCCACCAAGGCUCCCCAAUGAUUGCCUCUUGAUGAGCUGGUGGAGAGGGUGGUUGUGAUGAUGGUGACAAGGUUGAGAGGAGACUUGCACAUGCAGGUCUGGGCUGCAGCUGAGUGGUAGGGAAUGUGUCUGCCAUGCACGAGGCCUCGUGUUUAAUCUCUAAGACCCCAAUCCCCGAAGAAUCCAAAUUGAAGCAAAACAAAAUCUUUUCUUAUUUAAUCGGCUGAGGAUGGUAGACCAGAGACUUCCAAAUUCUCCCCCAAAUGCUUUUCCUGAUACAAAGAGCAAAACCAAGCAAAAAUCAUCUGGAGGGGCUGAAGAGGUGGCUCAGUGGUUAAGAGCACUGGCAGUUCUCCCAUAGGACCUGGGUCCGAUUCCCAGCACCCACAUGGCAGCUUAUAACUGCCAAUAACUCUACCUCCAGAGGACCUGAAACCCUUGCAAAAUACCAAUGCACAUAAAGUAAAAAUAAAUAAAUCAUUAAAAAAUCAUCUGGAACCCAGAAUUAGCCCCAGUAGUUCUUGGGGUGAGGUAACUCCAUGGACCUGAGUGUGCCGACCUUGGGUAUGUCCAUGUCAGGAUAAAGAAGGUGGAUCUGCUUCAUACUCUGCCUGGCAUAGAAGGAGUCUAGCUGGUGUCUGGGGGAGGAAGGCCUUAUGUCAUGGGAGAGGACUCUGGAGGUCUGUAGAAGGCAGUAGUGUGUGGCUCCCCCUCCGUAUUAUUUGAGCUCUCUCCCAGGAGCUGUUGGGAAAAGCUUGCAAGAAUUUCCUGGACUCUUGCAAACAGAGGUCUGCUCCACCAAGAGCAGGGUUGGCUGCCACUCCCCGCAGAAUCAGAUCUUUGGCAUCCUAGGCUCCUUUCGUGUCCCCAGGUCCUAUAUUUGACCUCACUGAAAGACAUCUCCAGAAACCAAUGCCCAGGAGAACAGGGGGUUUAGUCUCUCUCAUUUGUUACUGUUUCCACAGUGACUGGAACCGUCCUUAGCACAUACUAGACAGUAAGAAAAAUAUCGUUGGGGAAAAUGAAUCUUGUCAGGAGCCCAGAGGCUUUACUAUGUAUUUGCUCUGUGACUGAACAAAACUGUGGACUUUGUUCCUCUAGCCUGCUACUGCCACCAGCUCUGUCUUACAAAACAGAACAAUGUCAGUUGAGUUCACUGGAGCUUUGAAGUGUAAAAGCUAUGAAAUUGAUUUGAAAAGGACAGUUUUAGGAAGUUCAGCUAAUUUUAGAGUUCACAGGAGAUAGUGUUUCUAGAAAAUACGCUGCAGACACGCUUUCUUAGACACUUCAAACCAUCCUUCCAGUUACUCUUGGGCUGAGAAGUGAAAUGAAACCAGCUGGAAAUGAGUACUACCACACACCAGAAUCUUCGGAUGUGGUUAAAGGAAUAUCCAGUGGGCAGCUUAUAGCCUCAGUGUAACAGACAGGGAACUGAAAAAAAGAUAAACCAAGCAUUCAACUCAAGAGACCAGAGAACACCACCUCCCUGAAAUAUGAACAUAUGCACACGCAUGUGAGCUCUCCUCCCUCACCGCACGCACGCGUGCACAUGCACACACAUAAAGAAGUAAGACAUUUUCUUCCAAACUUUUCCAUAGAUCACGACAGUGGGGUGUGUUUUUAUCAGGGUCUUUUCUGAAUGCUGUCACUAGUACAAUUUCCACUAGCCCAUAACUGCCACUCUGUAGAUGAGAAAU